AACGAACGCUGGCGGCAUGCCUAACACAUGCAAGUCGAACGAAACCUUCGGGUCUAGUGGCGCACGGGUGCGUCACGCGUGGGAACCUGCCCUUAGGUUCGGAAUACCUCCCCGACAGGGGUGCUAAUACCGGAUAAUGUCUUCGGACCAAAGAUUUAUCGCCUUUGGAUGGGCCCGCGUUGGAUUAGCUAGUUGGUAGGGUAAAAGCCUACCAAGGCGACGAUCCAUAGCUGGUCUGUGAGGAUGAUCAGCCACACUGGGACUGGGACACGGCCCAGAAUCCUACGCGAGGCAGCAGUGGGGGAUGGUGGAAAAUGGGGGGAAGCCUGAACCAGCUAGGCCGGGUGAGUGAUGAAGGCCUUAGGGUUGUAAAGCGCUUUUACCCGGGAUGAUAAUGACAGUACCGGGAGAAUAAGCUCCGGCUAACUCCGUG
Molecule: ribosomal RNA, 433 nt
Filed under: uncultured bacterium
Lineage: Bacteria
Description: partial 16S ribosomal RNA
Rfam family: Bacterial small subunit ribosomal RNA
Source: RNAcentral